GGGAAUGUGGCUUAGUGGUAGAGUGCUUGCCUAGUAUGCAUGAAGUCCUGGGUUCGAUUCCUCAGUACCA
This 70-nucleotide transfer RNA is filed under the name Dipodomys ordii (Ord's kangaroo rat). It matches the Rfam family "tRNA". From Rfam's summary of the family: Transfer RNA (tRNA) molecules are approximately 80 nucleotides in length. Lineage: Eukaryota; Metazoa; Chordata; Mammalia; Rodentia; Heteromyidae. The record is from Rfam by way of RNAcentral.